Molecule: ribosomal RNA, 253 nt
Filed under: uncultured bacterium
Lineage: Bacteria
Description: partial 16S ribosomal RNA
Rfam family: Bacterial small subunit ribosomal RNA
Source: RNAcentral
UACGAAGGGGGCGAGCGUUAUUCGGAUUUACUGGGCGUAAAGGGCGCGCAGGCGGCCGCUCAAGUCAGGCGUGAAAGCCCCGGGCUUAACCUGGGAACUGCGUCUGGGACUGAGUGGCUAGAGUUCGGGAGAGGAGAGUGGAAUUCCCAGUGUAGAGGUGAAAUUCGUAGAUAUUGGGAAGAACACCGGUGGCGAAGGCGGCUCUCUGGACCGAGACUGACGCUGAGGCGCGAAAGCGUGGGGAGCAAACAGG